GUGGUAGUGCUGGUGGUGAUGAUGCAGGUGGUUUUUGCCGGUGGUGGUGGUGCUGAAGGUGAUAGUGAUGGCAGUUAACAAUGGUGGCUACGAGGCUUGCAAUUUCUGUUGGUCUUUUAUUUUGUGUUGCAGGCUCAGCUCCAUCAUUAUCAUCAUCAUAAGGAGGAGGAUGAUGGAGGAGGAGAAAGAGGCGAAGAAGGAAGAAAAAAAAUGAGAAGACAACAACAAUGAUGAUGAGAACAACGGCUGGUAGGAUAAAGUUAUUCCACAGACCAGGAUACUUGCAACAGAAUGGAAAUGCACCCAAGGCUCAGAAACUGAUGUUGAACCAGGCACAAGACCAGAAAUUUGGAGGAUGGAAACAGUCAAUUAUAUCCACCCCAGAAACUAAAAGACAAAGAUGACCUCAGUAGGAUUUGAACUUAAUAUAAAGACCCGGAGCAAAUACUGAUUACAAAGCAUUUUGCCCAACUCAAACGAUUCUGCUAAUACAUCACCUUAAGCUUGCUUCUCAA
This is a long non-coding RNA of Octopus bimaculoides (California two-spot octopus), 515 nucleotides long. NCBI's taxonomy places the organism in Eukaryota, Metazoa, Mollusca, Cephalopoda, Octopoda, Octopodidae. The record is from RefSeq and is a predicted model, not a curated record.